This 379-nucleotide long non-coding RNA is filed under the name Monodelphis domestica (gray short-tailed opossum). RNAcentral describes it as "lncRNA (ENSMODG00000039507.1)". The record is from RNAcentral. Lineage: Eukaryota; Metazoa; Chordata; Mammalia; Didelphimorphia; Didelphidae.
GCCCACCUGGGCUGUCCUAAGCCAAGCUAGAGCCAACCAUUGGAUUUGUGAGACACAGGAAGUGAGGUAGGGAACAGCCUCUGGAAUUCGCUCACUUCCUGUGGAGAGAGCUAGAGGGAGGUUGGUGUGAGGAGCUUGGAGAGGGAGGACGCCUGCAGACAGCUUUCCUUCAGAUCGGUCACCUGCUUAGGUUUCCACAACUAACCCAGGGACGACUACCCAAGAGUUAGAUUUGGCUCAUUCAUUCACACCCUUUCCUGUGUCUGGCAUUUUGAGUGGCACCGAAAUUCAAAACGAUCAACAGCAUAGACCCUGGGAAUCCUCCUCCUGGACCUGGACCUGGAUCAAAAGGUACGCCCCCCCCCCCCCCACAAGCCAG